CCGCAGAAGCCCCGCCUUUGCCAGUUACAGCCGGAUAUACACAGAGGUUAAAACUACAAUUGCGGGCGAACGGCGGCGCGGAUCAGACCAAGAUAUCCUGACUAAGAGUUGCCUCAUCCCUUCUGUCCUUCGCAUCUCCUCAGCCGCCUGUGUGGUCGAGCCGUGCUGGGAGUAGCGACCUGGGUGUCGCCUGCAGCAGUAAGCCCAUCCUGCUUUGCUGCGGGCUCUGGUGAAGACCAGCGGCACCUUAGACUCCGCACCCUGGCACAGUCAGAGUCAUCUGCCACACAGGUCCAGCGGAUCCACAUACACCGGAGUUCCUGUCUUCAGAAACGUGCUGGACAACGCCUUCAUGAUCAUAAGUUACUACGGGGAAGAAAGAUAUAUCUUAUGAAAAAAGACCACUAGAGUGAAGGCGGGAUCAAUACUUGCCUCGGACGCACCCCUUACUGAGCAGUGGAUGUCAGAAUGAAUGUUCAGCAGAACAGAGGGAUUUGUGAGUCAAAUACAGAGGCUAGACACAUUAAAAAAGAAAUGUAAAGC
Molecule: long non-coding RNA, 543 nt
Organism: Hyla sarda
Lineage: Eukaryota; Metazoa; Chordata; Amphibia; Anura; Hylidae
Exons: 4
Source: RefSeq, a predicted model, not a curated record